RNAcentral lists this ribosomal RNA (253 nucleotides) under uncultured bacterium. RNAcentral describes it as "partial 16S ribosomal RNA". It matches the Rfam family "Bacterial small subunit ribosomal RNA", at positions 524 to 776 of the family's 1533-position model. The record is from RNAcentral.
UACGGAGGGGGCUAGCGUUAUUCGGAAUCACUGGGCGUAAAGCGCGUGUAGGCGGCUUGUAAAGUCAGGGGUGAAAUCCCAGAGCUUAACUCUGGAAUUGCCUUUGAAACUCACAAGCUAGAAUUCGGUAGAGGAUAGUGGAAUUCCUAGUGUAGAGGUGAAAUUCGUAGAUAUUAGGAGGAACACCAGUGGCGAAGGCGACUGUCUGGGCCGAUAUUGACGCUAAGACGCGAAAGCGUGGGGAGCAAACAGG